Molecule: ribosomal RNA, 157 nt
Filed under: Saponaria sicula
Lineage: Eukaryota; Viridiplantae; Streptophyta; Magnoliopsida; Caryophyllales; Caryophyllaceae
Also listed under: 6 other names
Description: 5.8S ribosomal RNA
Rfam family: 5.8S ribosomal RNA
About the family: 5.8S ribosomal RNA (5.8S rRNA) is a component of the large subunit of the eukaryotic ribosome. It is transcribed by RNA polymerase I as part of the 45S precursor that also contains 18S and 28S rRNA.
Source: RNAcentral
AAACGACUCUCGGCAACGGAUAUCUCGGCUCUCGCAUCGAUGAAGAACGUAGCGAAAUGCGAUACUUGGUGUGAAUUGCAGAAUCCCGUGAACCAUCGAGUCUUUGAACGCAAGUUGCGCCCGAAGCCUUUUGGCUGAGGGCACGUCUGCCUGGGCG